CACACUGUAAACGAUGAUAACUCGCUGCCGGCGAUACAUUGUUGGUGGCCAAGCGAAAGCAUUAAGUUAUCCACCUGGGGAGUACGACCGCAAGGUUGAAACUCAAAGGAAUUGACGGGGGCCCGCACAAGCGGUGGAGCAUGUGGUUUAAUUCGAGGCAACGCGAAGAACCUUACCCGGGUUUGACAUCCGUAGAAUCCUUCAGAGAUGAGGGAGUGCCGGUUUACCGGAGCUACGAGACAGGUGC
Molecule: ribosomal RNA, 247 nt
Filed under: uncultured Bacteroidota bacterium
Lineage: Bacteria; Pseudomonadati; Bacteroidota
Description: uncultured Bacteroidetes bacterium partial 16S ribosomal RNA
Rfam family: Bacterial small subunit ribosomal RNA
Source: RNAcentral